UACGUAGGGACCAAGCGUUGUUCGGAUUUACUGGGCGUAAAGGGCGCGUAGGCGGCGUGAUAAGUCACUUGUGAAAUCUCUGAGCUUAACUCAGAACGGCCAAGUGAUACUGUUGUGCUUGAGUGUGGAAGGGGCAAUCGGAAUUCUUGGUGUAGCGGUGAAAUGCGUAGAUAUCAAGAGGAACACCUGAGGUGAAGACGGGUUGCUGGGCCAACACUGACGCUGAGGCGCGAAAGCCAGGGGAGCAAACGGG
This 253-nucleotide ribosomal RNA is filed under the name uncultured bacterium. RNAcentral's name for it is "partial 16S ribosomal RNA". It matches the Rfam family "Bacterial small subunit ribosomal RNA", at positions 524 to 776 of the family's 1533-position model. The record is from RNAcentral.